CCCCUUCUCUCGGUCACUAUCUCCGCAUCUCCGCUCCCUCGCAACCACCUCCAACGCCAUCGCAUCACUUCUCUCUCCAGCGACGCUCCGACGCGCUGCCGCAUCCCCGUCUGGUUCCGCCACGAGGAGGGGUCGAGGCCUGAGCCCGACAGUGUGCCGGUGAGGCAUGAGCCCGACAGUGUGUCGGAGUUGCGGCGGUGGAUGAGGCGAGGGCGGGGUAGGGCAUAGCCGCCGUGCAUAGGCUGCCGCGCCGCAGUGGAACAGAGAGGAGGCGCCGCAUGGUCAGGGUCGGACGCUCAUCCCGCGGUGGCUGCCGAUCCCGCUGCCAGGUCAUCGUCGUCGCGCGAUCCUGGCUGCUCCUCUGUCGCAACCCUACCGGCUCCUUCCCUGCGCCGCCGCGACCGCCUCGGUGGUGCCACGCGAGUCCAUCCCGCCGACAGGUCGUCGUCACGCGAUCCCGCUGGCUCCUCCGUCGCCACCUCCACGAGUCGCCAUUACUGAUGGCGAUUUCUUCUCUAUUCUCAAGUCUUCCCCAUAUCUAAUCCCUCUUUCCUCCUCUUUGUGCUUUCUGCGUGCUCUGCCUCUCUGCUCAGUGCUAUUGAUUUCUUCACAAGGCUAUGUAAGAAAAGCUUUGCAGGCUAAAGGUAUGCAGAGAUGGAGUAUUGUGCAUCUUUGGGCACGGCCACAGCAGUCGUCCUUGCUGCUAUAAUUGGUUUAAUGGUAUCUUGGACCAAAUCAUCUCUGGGUUAACAUGAUAUUUCUAACGUACAAGUGUCCGCUGUCUCUUAGAUAGCCAAAACACUAAUCAUUAUGCAGACUGAAUUGAGGUUAAUAGCAACAAAUCCUAUAACAAACAAGUGUUGUGUCCAUGGCUUGAGGUUGAUAGCAAUAAUUUUUUAAUUGACGCAGAAUGUUAGAAUGGAAAUGUUAAGUUUGCUUUAGUCAUUGUUAAAUGUAGGUAAUUUUUUUUGGAAUGGUCAACAUAACGAUAAUUCCAUUUAGAGACAUAUUUUGCUAAAAUAAGAAAUAACUCGUCCAACACCCCUAAAUCUUUGACGUGUUUGCUGAUCAUAAUAUUGCCCUUGCUUUUUAGGCAUCUUGUGUGUUGGUAACAUUCAAGUGGCUGAAUUGGAUUGUAAAUAAAACCUUCAUUCUUACCUAUAGAUUUCCCUUCUAUAGAAAAUACUUUUCUCUGAAGUAUCUAAUAUAAUGCUCUGCCGCAUGGGUGGUAGUUAUUCCAAUGGUACAAUGCAUGCUGACGACGGCGAGGCGGUCGAUCCAGUACCGCAGCACCUCGAGCUCGCCGGACCUAGAGGUUGAGGUGUCGAGCGUGGCCGUACGGCAUUAAUAUAUAGUUUUGUUUGUGGUUUUGAAUUAUCAACAUUGAUAACUGAUAUUAUUAUGCAAACUAGAAACUUGAGAAAAAUAUGCACAUGCUGCACUACUAUUGUUGUUCUAAAAGAAAUAUUCCUUUGAAAGAAAAAAAUAUUGCAAAACAUGCAUAUUACCCGCACAAGUAGGCUGAAACUCUGUUGAAUCUUCCUCUGCUUUAUCUGCAAUGCUAAAACAGCGAGAAUAUCCUUAUCGACACAUUUUUUCAAUGUACAUGAGUUAUCAAGUUUUACUGAUGCAGUGAUUCAUUAUCAGAAAUAAAGAGUGAUUAGUACUUAUGCUUGAAAUUUCCUCCAUCUUUGUUAUGUAAAAGAAAUGGAGUGACAAACGGGAAAACAAAAGAGAAAGCUCCUCAUGUGUUUAUGUAUUUCCAUCCUGCAUAUGAACUGUU
Non-coding RNA from Oryza sativa Japonica Group (Japanese rice), 1783 nucleotides. Lineage: Eukaryota; Viridiplantae; Streptophyta; Magnoliopsida; Poales; Poaceae. The record is from RefSeq and is a predicted model, not a curated record.